AACUAUAACGGUCCUAAGGUAGCGAAAUUCCUUGUCAGGUAAGUUCUGACCCGCAUGAAAGGCGUAAUGAUUUGGGCACUGUCUCAACAGCCCGCCCGGCGAAAUUGUAGUACCGGUGAAGAUGCCGGUUACCCGCGACAAGACGGAAAGACCCCAUGGAGCUUUACUGUAGCCUAAUAUUGGGUUUCGAUGUUGCAUGCACAGGAUAGAUGGGACACUGGGAAACAAUCGCUUUGGCGGUUGCGGAGUGGCCGUUGGGAUACCAUCCUUGCGAUAUUGGAAUUCUAACCUGCGGCUCUGAAUCGAGUCGGGGGACAUUGUUAGGUGGGCAGUUUGACUGGGGCGGUCGCCUCCUAAAGAGUAACGGAGGCGUUCAAAGGUUCGCUCAGCUUGAACGGAAAUCAAGCAAAAGAGUGCAAACGCAGAAGCGAGCCUAACUGCGAGACUGACGGGUCGAGCAGUAACGAAAGUUGGAGUUAGUGAUCCGGUGGUAUGUGAGUGGAAAUGCCAUCGCUCAACGGAUAAAAGUUACCCUGGGGAUAACAGGCUGAUCUCCCCCAAGAGUCCACAUCGACGGGGAGGUUUGGCACCUCGAUGUCGGCUCAUCGCAUCCUGGGGCUGUAUUCGGUCCCAAGGGUUUGGCUGUUCGCCAAUUAAAGCGGUACGCGAGCUGGGUUCAGAACGUCGUGAGACAGUUCGGUCCCUAUCUGUCGUGGGCGCAGGAUAUUUGAUGGGAGCUGUCCCUAGUACGAGAGGACCGGGACGGACGUACCUCUGGCGCACCAGUUGUUCCGCCAGGAGCAUAGCUGGGCAACUACGUACGGAUCGGAUAAACGCUGAAAGCAUCUAAGCGUGAAGCCGACCCAAAGAUAAGAUAUCCCAUUGUUUCAAACAAGUAAGACCCCUUGAAGACUACAAGGUUGAUAGGCACGAUGUGUAAGUGGAGCGAUCCAUUCAGCAAGCGUGUACUAAUAGGUCGAGGGCUUGACCAC
Molecule: ribosomal RNA, 992 nt
Filed under: human gut metagenome
Description: bacterial LSU rRNA
Rfam family: Bacterial large subunit ribosomal RNA
Source: RNAcentral